GACGAACGCUGGCGGCGUGCCUAAUACAUGCAAGUAGAACGCACAGUUUAUACCGUAGCUUGCUACACCAUAGACUGUGAGUUGCGAACGGGUGAGUAACGCGUAGGUAACCUGCCUGGUAGCGGGGGAUAACUAUUGGAAACGAUAGCUAAUACCGCAUAAUAUUGAUUAUUGCAUGAUAAUUAAUUGAAAGGUGCAAUUGCACCACUACCAGAUGGACCUGCGUUGUAUUAGCUAGUAGGUGAGGUAACGGCUCACCUAGGCGACGAUACAUAGCCGACCUGAGAGGGUGAUCGGCCACACUGGGACUGAGACACGGCCCAGACUCCUACGGGAGGCAGCAGUAGGGAAUCUUCGGCAAUGGACGAAAGUCUGACCGAGCAACGCCGCGUGAGGGAAGAAGGUUUUCGGAUCGUAAAGCUCGGUUGUAAGAGAAGAACGGGUGUGAGAGUGGAAAGUUCACACUGUGACGGUAUCUUACCAGAAAGGGACGGCUAACUACGUG
RNAcentral lists this ribosomal RNA (505 nucleotides) under uncultured bacterium. RNAcentral's name for it is "partial 16S ribosomal RNA". It matches the Rfam family "Bacterial small subunit ribosomal RNA", at positions 28 to 507 of the family's 1533-position model. The record is from RNAcentral.